RNAcentral lists this ribosomal RNA (747 nucleotides) under uncultured Yaniella sp. Its description in RNAcentral is "bacterial SSU rRNA". It matches the Rfam family "Bacterial small subunit ribosomal RNA", at positions 28 to 776 of the family's 1533-position model. Lineage: Bacteria; Bacillati; Actinomycetota; Actinomycetes; Micrococcales; Micrococcaceae. The record is from RNAcentral.
GAUGAACGCUGGCGGCGUGCUUAACACAUGCAAGUCGAAUGCUGAAGCCUGGAGCUUGCUUUGGGUGGAUGAGUGGCGAACGGGUGAGUAUCACGUGAGGAACCUGCCCUGAACUUCGGGAUAAGCCUGGGAAACUGGGUCUAAUACUGGAUAGGACAUCUCAUCGCAUGGUGGGGUGUGGAAAGCUUUUUGCGGUUUGGGAUGGUCUCGCGGCCUAUCAGCUGGUUGGUGGGGUAAUGGCUUACCAAGGCUUUGACGGGUAGCCGGCCUGAGAGGGUGACCGGCCACACUGGGACUGAGACACGGCCCAGACUCUUACGGGAGGCAGCAGUGGGGGAUAUUGCACAAUGGGCGCAAGCCUGAUGCAGCGACGCCGCGUGAGGGAUGACGGCCUUCGGGUUGUAAACCUCUUUCAGUUGGGAAGAAGCCCCUUUGUGGGUGACGGUACUUUCAGAAGAAGCACCGGCUAACUACGUGCCAGCAGCCGCGGUAAUACGUAGGGUGCGAGCGUUAUCCGGAAUUAUUGGGCGUAAAGAGCUCGUAGGCGGUUUGUCACGUCUGCUGUGAAAGCUGAAGGCUUAACCUUUCAGUGUGCAGUGGGUACGGGCAGGCUGGAGUGCAGUAGGGGAGACUGGAAUUCCUGGUGUAGCGGUGAAAUGCGCAGAUAUCAGGAGGAACACCGAUGGCGAAGGCAGGUCUCUGGGCUGUUACUGACGCUGAGGAGCGAAAGCAUGGGGAGCGAACAGG